CUGGAGGACCAGGGUUCUUGCCACCGGGAGGACCCGGCUUCUUCCCACCCAUUGGUGGUUUCUUUUCUGGGUUCUCAGACAUGAUAUGUUCCUGUCUAUCUUGUCUGUGCUGCUGCUGGCUGCUACGAGAUUGCUUUGGCGGCUCACCACCACAAGGACCGCCACUUCUUCCUCCCUAUAAUUGAUCACAUCUAGCUCUUUUGGUCACAAGCAUAAUAUUAAAGCGAUCUCUGUAUAUGAUAUUGCUGAUGCUUGUCAAAUGUAAUCUUAUAUAUGACUCAGAUACUUCAAAUAUCUGGAUUACUGCUCUGUCUGGAUAUAUAUUCUCCAAAAAAACGAUCAAAUUAAUUAUCAGAGAAAUGAAAUCAUAGUCUGGAACUA
Arabidopsis lyrata subsp. lyrata is the source of this 381-nucleotide long non-coding RNA. RefSeq lists it as uncharacterized. Lineage: Eukaryota; Viridiplantae; Streptophyta; Magnoliopsida; Brassicales; Brassicaceae. The record is from RefSeq and is a predicted model, not a curated record. The transcript has 2 exons.